This 85-nucleotide transfer RNA is filed under the name Felis catus (domestic cat). It matches the Rfam family "tRNA". From Rfam's summary of the family: Transfer RNA (tRNA) molecules are approximately 80 nucleotides in length. Their secondary structure includes four short double-helical elements and three loops (D, anti-codon, and T loops). Lineage: Eukaryota; Metazoa; Chordata; Mammalia; Carnivora; Felidae. The record is from Rfam by way of RNAcentral. RNAcentral also lists the same sequence under 4 other names.
GCCUGGGUGGCUCAGUCGGUUAAGCGUCCGACUUCAGCUCGGGUCACGAUCUCACGGUCCGUGGGUUCGAGCCCCGCGUCGGGCU